Molecule: transfer RNA, 70 nt
Filed under: Mulloidichthys vanicolensis (yellowfin goatfish)
Lineage: Eukaryota; Metazoa; Chordata; Actinopteri; Syngnathiformes; Mullidae
Also listed under: 2 other names
Description: tRNA-Tyr
Rfam family: tRNA
About the family: Transfer RNA (tRNA) molecules are approximately 80 nucleotides in length. Their secondary structure includes four short double-helical elements and three loops (D, anti-codon, and T loops).
Source: RNAcentral
GGUAAGAUGGCUGAGUUUUAAGCGGUGGAUUGUAGCCCCACAUACAGGGGUUUGAUUCCCCUUCUUAUCA